Molecule: ribosomal RNA, 253 nt
Filed under: uncultured bacterium
Lineage: Bacteria
Description: partial 16S ribosomal RNA
Rfam family: Bacterial small subunit ribosomal RNA
Source: RNAcentral
UACGUAGGGGGCAAGCGUUAUCCGGAUUCACUGGGUGUAAAGGGAGCGUAGACGGCGACGCAAGUCUGGAGUGAAAGCCCGGGGCCCAACCCCGGGACUGCUCUGGAAACUGCGGCGCUGGAGUACGGGAGGGGCAGGCGGAAUUCCUGGUGUAGCGGUGAAAUCCGUAGAUAUCUGGAGGAACAUCAGUGGCGAAGGCGGCCACCUGGACCGGUAUUGACGCUGAGGCGCGAAAGCGUGGGGAGCAAACAGG